This 253-nucleotide ribosomal RNA is filed under the name uncultured bacterium. RNAcentral describes it as "partial 16S ribosomal RNA". It matches the Rfam family "Bacterial small subunit ribosomal RNA", at positions 524 to 776 of the family's 1533-position model. The record is from RNAcentral.
UACGGAGGGGGCUAGCGUUGUUCGGAAUUACUGGGCGUAAAGCGCGCGUAGGCGGACUCUUAAGUCGGUGGUGAAAUCCUGGAGCUCAACUCCAGAACUGCCUUCGAUACUGAGAGUCUCGAGUCCGAGAGAGGUGAGUGGAACUGCGAGUGUAGAGGUGAAAUUCGUAGAUAUUCGCAAGAACACCAGUGGCGAAGGCGGCUCACUGGCUCGGUACUGACGCUGAGGUGCGAAAGCGUGGGGAGCAAACAGG